RNA transcript from Rhodamnia argentea, 717 nucleotides. RefSeq lists it as uncharacterized. Lineage: Eukaryota; Viridiplantae; Streptophyta; Magnoliopsida; Myrtales; Myrtaceae. The record is from RefSeq and is a predicted model, not a curated record. The transcript is spliced from 2 exons.
UAUACCUCCGUCGCCAUUCCGCCCUUCAAAUCCCUGAGUUUCAUCAGCUGGAUCAUGGCGUGAAUGACGACGGUCGCUCGCGACGACCCAUGGCUCGCACGCGACAAACUCUACCACGUCCUCUUCUGCCUCUUCACCACCCUCCUCUUCUCUCACCUCGCCUCCCUCACCAAAAGCGGUUUCCUCCGACGCCACUCCCUUCUAGUCGGAUCCAUCGCCUCCCUCCUCGCCGGUGCUGCCAAGGAGGCCGCCGACCAGCUCGGCAUCUUCCCCUCAGACGGCGCCUCCGCCAAGGACGCCUUGGCCGACGUCCUCGGUGUCCUUAUUGCCGCCUGCGCAGUCUCCCUCUGCAGGCGCAGGUCUUCGACCCGACCCACGCCAGAAACGGGUCAGCACAGCGUUGCCUCGAUGGUUUGACUCGUUUGAGCAGGUAGUUGGGUCUGAUUGCUUCGUUUGGUGAGAAAUUUGCGGUUUUUCUUUAUCUCGAUCUGAAUGCUACAUCGGAGAAGGGUAGUUAUGAAGGUCUAAAAUGCUGGAUCUUCUAGCGAGGUACUCGAAAGAAGCUUGAAAAUUGAGUAUAGUGUUAUCUUUGCCUGUCGCUUCUGAAUCUACGCAAAAAUCGAAGGCUUUUCGUGGUUGUUUCCUUCAUCAUCUGGCAACUUGACAGCAGUGUAUAUUCCAGCUCCACAAAGCGCGCCGAGAAUGGGAGCAGUGAGG